RNAcentral lists this ribosomal RNA (564 nucleotides) under uncultured bacterium. RNAcentral describes it as "bacterial SSU rRNA". It matches the Rfam family "Bacterial small subunit ribosomal RNA", at positions 97 to 659 of the family's 1533-position model. The record is from RNAcentral.
GGCGCACGGGUGCGUAACGCGUAUGCAACUUGCCUCACAGAGGGGGAUAACCCGUCGAAAGACGGACUAAUACCGCGUACACUCCACUUUGGGCAUCCAAAGUAGAGGAAAUGAAAUUCGCUGUGAGAUAGGCAUGCGUCCCAUUAGCUAGUUGGUGAGGUAACGGCUCACCAAGGCGACGAUGGGUAGGGGAACUGAGAGGUUGAACCCCCACACUGGUACUGAGACACGGACCAGACUCCUACGGGAGGCAGCAGUGAGGAAUAUUGGUCAAUGGGCGAGAGCCUGAACCAGCCAAGUCGCGUGAAGGAUGACUGUCUUAUGGAUUGUAAACUUCUUUUAUACGGGAAUAACAAGAGCCACGUGUGGCUCCCUGCAUGUACCGUAUGAAUAAGCAUCGGCUAACUCCGUGCCAGCAGCCGCGGUAAUACGGAGGAUGCGAGCGUUAUCCGGAUUUAUUGGGUUUAAAGGGUGCGUAGGCGGCCUGUUAAGUCAGCGGUGAAAUCUAGGAGCUUAACUCCUAAAUUGCCUUGAUACUGGGCGGGCUUGAGUGUAGAUGAGGUA